This 519-nucleotide ribosomal RNA is filed under the name uncultured bacterium. RNAcentral's name for it is "bacterial SSU rRNA". It matches the Rfam family "Bacterial small subunit ribosomal RNA", at positions 28 to 535 of the family's 1533-position model. The record is from RNAcentral.
GAUGAACGCUAGCGGGAGGCUUAACACAUGCAAGUCGAGGGGCAGCAUAGGGUAGCAAUACUCUGAUGGCGACCGGCAAACGGGUGAGUAACGCGUAUGCAACCUACCCUGUACAGGGGGAUAACCCGGAGAAAUUCGGACUAAUAUCCCGUAAUAAUAUCCGGAGGCAUCUUUGGAUAUUUAAAGUUUCGACGGUACGGGAUGGGCAUGCGUAACAUUAGCUGGUUGGUAAGGUAACGGCUUACCAAGGCUAUGAUGUUUAGGGGUCCUGAGAGGGUGGUCCCCCAACUGGUACUGAGACACGGACCAGACUCCUACGGGAGGCAGCAGUGAGGAAUAUUGGUCAAGUGGGCGCAAGCCUGAACCAGCCAUCCCGCGUGCAGGAAGACGGCCCUAGUGGGUUGUAAACUGCUUUUCCGAGGGAGAGAAACUUACGCACGUGUUGCGUGACUGACGGUACCCUGGGAAUAAGCAUCGGCUAACUCCGUGCCAGCAGCCGACGGUAAAACUCACGUGUAC